CUAAUUUACACAGAGGUAGAUAUUGGAGAACUACUCAUGUUGAAGCUCAAAUGGAAGAGUGAUUCAUACUUUAGCUGGUCAGACUGGUGGAGCAGUCCCGGCUUCGCCAUUCAGAAGAUCAGAGUAAAAGCAGGAGAGACUCAGAAAAAGGUGAUCUUCUGUUCUAGGGAGAAAGUGUCUCAUUUGCAGAAAGGAAAGGCACCUGCGGUAUUUGUGAAAUGCCAUGACAAGUCUCUGAAUAAGAAGUCAGGCUGAAACUGGGCGAAUCUACAGAACAAAGAACGGCAUGUGAAUUCUGUGAAGAAUGAAGUGGAGGAAGUAACUUUUACAAAACAUACCCAGUGUUUGGGGUGUUUCAAAAGUGGAUUUUCCUGAAUAUUAAUCCCAGCCCUACCCUUGUUAGUUAUUUUAGGAGACAGUCUCAAGCACUAAAAAGUGGCUAAUUCAAUUUAUGGGGUAUAGUGGCCAAAUAGCACAUCCUCCAACGUUAAAAGACAGUGGAUCAUGAAAAGUGCUGUUUUGUCCUUUGAGAAAGAAAUAAUUGUUUGAGCGCAGAGUAAAAUAAGGCUCCUUCAUGUGGCGUAUUGGGCCAUAGCCUAUAAUUGGUUAGAACCUCCUAUUUUAAUUGGAAUUCUGGAUCUUUCGGACUGAGGCCUUCUCAAACUUUACUCUAAGUCUCCAAGAAUACAGAAAAUGCUUUUCCGCGGCACGAAUCAGACUCAUCUACACAGCAGUAUGAAUGAUGUUUUAGAAUGAUUCCCUCUUGCUAUUGGAAUGUGGUCCAGACGUCAACCAGGAACAUGUAACUUGGAGAGGGACGAAGAAAGGGUCUGAUAAACACAGAGGUUUUAAACAGUCCCUACCAUUGGCCUGCAUCAUGACAAAGUUACAAAUUCAAGGAGAUAUAAAAUCUAGAUCAAUUAAUUCUUAAUAGGCUUUAUCGUUUAUUGCUUAAUCCCUCUCUCCCCCUUCUUUUUUGUCUCAAGAUUAUAUUAUAAUAAUGUUCUCUGGGUAGGUGUUGAAAAUGAGCCUGUAAUCCUCAGCUGACACAUAAUUUGAAUGGUGC
RNAcentral lists this long non-coding RNA (1066 nucleotides) under Homo sapiens (human). Its description in RNAcentral is "HSALNT0133785". The record is from RNAcentral. Lineage: Eukaryota; Metazoa; Chordata; Mammalia; Primates; Hominidae.